UUUGUACAAUCAAGCAGAGGAGGCUCAACUUCACUCAGGCCUCCUUCCCUGCCCUGGCAAGAGCCUGGGGUUACACACUAAGCUGACUUCCUUCCAAUAGAGCUCCACCCUCCUCCUGGUGAAGGAGCCAUGUGCUGCUGAAAGGUUUGUUUCUCUGACCACCCUCCAAACUCCCAGCCCUGGUUGAGACCUUUGCUCUCCACUCCUAUUGGAGCCUGCUUGGGUUCCCCAGCUCUUAGGAGUCUUUGAGUCCCAGUGAGCAUGUGUGUUUCCUUCCAGCUGUGAUCAAAUGCACCCUUGGGCUGGUUUGUUUUUCUUCUCAAUAGGUUAGCCAAGUCCCUAGCCCCACAGUGUACCUCCAACCACUCUCUCCUAACCUAGCUGCUGAUAUCAGAGCAAAGUCCCCUUCUUGUACCCUGUCUGACAGGGAGAGUAGAUCAGUGCCUGACCUAGAAGGAAACAGAGUGCAGGGCUCUCUUAUCCCUGAGCCACCCUUGCCAUGUGAUUAAAGGUCCCAUGUCCCAGGAGGUCUUCGGAACAGACAACCAGUCUGACUAAAAUCUGAGUCUUUGGAAACAAGUAGAUUAAAAACAGAAGUCACUCCUAAGCAUUUCGGGGAUGCAUGUGAACCACAGACAGGCCCAAAUCAAGGUGAUUUAAAGCUGUCACCAGCCUGUGAUGAGAAAGCUAGGAAAGAGCUGGGGCCACCAGGAAAAGAGAAGGGGCUGUGGCUAUCAGAACUCAGCUCCCAUGGCUGUGUGAUUACAGGCAUCCUGCAAACCUGGCAUUUGCACAUCUCUGAAGUGCUGUGAGAGAGGAAGACUCUAAUCUGAGGCAUAAGUAGUGCCUUGAACCAUGUAACCCUGUUAUUAGCUUAAGUAUCUAUGUGGUGCUAACAUGUUAGAGCUGCCUCAAAGGAGGAUACUGCUCUCUUUCUGAAAUAGUGUUAAACUAUUCGGGGAUCUCACACUCUUUAACCUUUGAAACCAUUGAACACAAGAAUGAAGGAGCCCAAGAGUGAGUCUAACUCAAAGAUUUGGGAUCACUGAAGGGAAAGAUAUGUUGGAGGGAUGUUGUGGGGAGAUGUAGGCUUUUUUAAAAAAUGAACCAGUUGUAUCAGGGACUUUCCCAUCCUAUAGAGGAGGCUUGGUAAGAAAUAGUAAGGGUGGGCUGUGACAUUAAUGAGAUAGUCUGGUGACAGAUGAGACAUGGGAAGGUGGCAGGGUAGAUCAGUAUUAGCUCUACCGAGGAAACUGCAUUAGGAGUUAUUUGAAAGCUUCUGGGACACGUUUACGGAGGAAAAUCUUGAUGGUCUUGGCUCUCAUCUGCUUUUCCUCGCUAUCUAUAUAAGAUAAUCCACGCCCACACCAUACACAUGUGCCCUUAGAAACUGGGAGUUUGAAUUUGACUAUAAAGAAGGCUGUUUAAUCCCAGUCCUUCAUGCUAUCUGGCCUUCAAAUUAAUAUCACAAUGACAUCUUGGUCCACAGGUGUGCCCUGCCCUGAGAAUGCAGAGAGCCUAGCUGGCUUCUUAAUGGUGUUUGCAUCAUGAAGGGCUCUUCCUUGUUCCUAACCACUUCUGUUUUGUGCUUACCUGGAAUGGUGACAAUACUAUGAGGUUAUAAAAACAGCUGGAAUGAGUUCCAUAAUUAGCAACAGCUUUCAAAAUCCACAAUACCCCUGAGGGAAAAUAAAAGGAAGACUCAUUCUGUUUUUGUGAUCUGUCAAGAUUCUUGUGUCAAGAUUCUAUCUCACCUAGUGCUUAAAGAGUUUCUAAACUGGAAGUUAACAUUUCUUUGCUCCUGAAGUCUUACAGAAGUAAGAGGACUGGAGAAAUGGCUCCAUGGGUAAAGUGCUUUCUGGACCGUAGUUCAGAUCUCCAGUGACCACAUAAAAUAUAGGUGUGGCAGUGCACACUUCUAACUGUAGGACUGCGGGAGGGAGGGAGAAAGGCAGAGACAGUUGGGUCUUCAGAGUAGCAUGACCAGCCUGAUUAGCAGACCAGUGAGCACAAGGUUCAGUGUGUGACUCUAUCUAAAAUAAUAGCAAUAUCAUCAUCAUUAUCAAUAACACAAUGUAGAGAGUGAUUCUAGAAGACAGACAAUAUCAACCUCUGACCUAUACUUGUGUGUCUGCACCUAUAUGUAUACAUAUGUAUAUUCAAGUAUGUCUGCCCAUGUCUACACAUGCAUGCACACACAUACAUACAUACACACACAGAGAAAAAGAGAGACAGAGAGACAGAGACAAACAAGAGAGUCAGAAGGAGAGAUUUCUGCACUAGCUAAAGACAUACCAGCAACAACUGUUCCAAAUUUCUACUCAGUAUUAGGUUGCUCACAUAUGCAGAAAACACUUUGUAAAUCAUAAAAAAAAAAAUCUUCCAGUAGAAAAUUCGUAUCUAGUAUCAUCUUGCUUUUUCCCUUCUUUAUUGUAAUCUAAAUUUAAAUACUGUUUUGGGGUAAUUCACCACGAAGCCAUUGUGUACAUGAACAAUACAUGUGUGUCUUCCUAACAUCUCAGUCAGAAUUGGAAUAAGUGAUCCACUAUGAAGUUAGGAAGGGUGCAUAUGUCCCUGGAAAGUUAAAUGCCACCUAAACUAGAGGUUUACAACUAUACAAUAAAGAUUUUAUGAAGUUGGACAUGGUGAAAAACAGUUGAAAUCCCAGCACUAUGGAGGCAGGAAGAAUCAGUAGUUCAAGGAUAGCCUGGGCUAUAUGGGAAGAUCCUGGCUCAAAAAAUAUUGAAAGG
This 2750-nucleotide long non-coding RNA is filed under the name Mus musculus (house mouse). RNAcentral describes it as "long non-coding RNA chr10:3746911-3749661". The record is from RNAcentral. Lineage: Eukaryota; Metazoa; Chordata; Mammalia; Rodentia; Muridae.